This 492-nucleotide ribosomal RNA is filed under the name uncultured bacterium. Its description in RNAcentral is "partial 16S ribosomal RNA". It matches the Rfam family "Bacterial small subunit ribosomal RNA", at positions 29 to 507 of the family's 1533-position model. The record is from RNAcentral.
AGUGAACGCUGGCGGUAGGCCUAACACAUGCAAGUCGAACGGCAGCACAGUAAGAGCUUGCUCUUACGGGUGGCGAGUGGCGGACGGGUGAGGAAUACAUCGGAAUCUACUUUUUCGUGGGGGAUAACGUAGGGAAACUUACGCUAAUACCGCAUACGACCUACGGGUGAAAGCAGGGGAUCUUCGGACCUUGCUCGAUUGAAUGAGCCGAUGCCGGAUUGGCUAGUUGGCGGGGUAAAGGCCCACCAAGGCGACGAUCCGUAGCUGGUCUGAGAGGAUGAUCAGCCACACUGGAACUGAGACACGGUCCAGACUCCUACGGGAGGCAGCAGUGGGGAAUAUUGGACAAUGGGCGCAAGCCUGAUCCAGCCAUACCGCGUGGGUGAAGAAGGCCUUCGGGUUGUAAAGCCCUUUUGUUGGGAAAGAAAAGCAGCAGGUUAAUACCCCGCUGUUCUGACGGUACCCAAAGAAUAAGCAACGGCUAACUUCGUG